AUUGAACGCUGGCGGAAUGCUUUACACAUGCAAGUCGAACGGUAGAGGGGGCAACCCCUUGAGAGUGGCGAACGGGUGAGUAAUAUAUCGGAACGUGCCCAGUCGUGGGGGGAUAACGUAGCGAAAGUUACGCUAAUACCGCAUACGAUCUAAGGAUGAAAGCGGGGGACCGUAAGGCCUCGCGCGAUUGGAGCGGCCGAUAUCAGAUUAGGUAGUUGGUGGGGUAAAGGCUCACCAAGCCAACGAUCUGUAGCUGGUCUGAGAGGACGACCAGCCACACUGGAACUGAGACACGGUCCAGACUCCUACGGGAGGCAGCAGUGGGGAAUUUUGGACCAAUGGGCGCAAGCCUGAUCCAGCAAUGCCGCGUGCAGGAUGAAGGCCUUCGGGUUGUAAACUGCUUUGUACGGACGAAAGACUCUGGUUAAUACCUGGGUCCAUGACGGUACCGUAAGAAUAAGCACCGGCUAACUACGUG
Molecule: ribosomal RNA, 478 nt
Filed under: uncultured bacterium
Lineage: Bacteria
Description: bacterial SSU rRNA
Rfam family: Bacterial small subunit ribosomal RNA
Source: RNAcentral